UGAUUAUAGUUAAAAUUAUUUGCAUCUAUUUUAUAUCUACUCUGUAGAGGAAGUAGGGGCAUAGACAAGUGUUAAACAGAAGUUGGUAAAGGCAAAAUAUGCUUGUGAUUGUCGCGUUGCUUGUGUUGAGUGUGGCUGACUCCCAAUACCAAUAUUAUAACAAUGACAUCCCAAGCUACAUUAAACGAGCGUUAAAUGAAAAGAAUCGAUAUAAAAUAGCGCCAAAAGCAACGAGACACAUCACUAACCUGACUCUUCCGGAAGUAGUGGAGAAAAUUAAGCAGAUCACGCUGUCUUUAAAUCAACAUGCAAAGAAAAAUGGAUAUUUUGUUGAUUAUAACUUACGUAUAAUUGAUAAGGACUGAAUAUACUUACAAAAUUUGAA
This is a long non-coding RNA of Pieris brassicae (large cabbage white), 385 nucleotides long. RefSeq lists it as uncharacterized. The transcript has 2 exons. NCBI's taxonomy places the organism in Eukaryota, Metazoa, Arthropoda, Insecta, Lepidoptera, Pieridae. The record is from RefSeq and is a predicted model, not a curated record.